ACGCUCGACACCUACGGAGGCAGCAGUGGGGAAUAUUGGGCAACGGGCGCAAGCCUGACCCAGCAACGCCGCGUGAAGGAAGAAGGCCCUCGGGUUGUAAACUUCUUUUGACAGGGACGAAACAAAUGACGGUACCUGUCGAAUAGGCCACGGCUAACUACGUGUCAGCAGCCGCGGUAAUCUGAGCGGGCUGGCAAGGC
Molecule: ribosomal RNA, 200 nt
Filed under: uncultured bacterium
Lineage: Bacteria
Description: partial 16S ribosomal RNA
Rfam family: Bacterial small subunit ribosomal RNA
Source: RNAcentral